This is a long non-coding RNA of Quercus robur (English oak), 2996 nucleotides long. RefSeq lists it as uncharacterized. NCBI's taxonomy places the organism in Eukaryota, Viridiplantae, Streptophyta, Magnoliopsida, Fagales, Fagaceae. The record is from RefSeq and is a predicted model, not a curated record. The transcript has 2 exons.
CAAGUCACUAACGUCAAUCUGUUUAUCCACAGAUAAGAGUUGAGUGGGCUAAAUUAAUUCAACCAUGGGAUCACGCUAGACUACAACAAACCACUUGUAGGUUGUAGCUAUGGUGUGUUCAUGUCGGAGACAAAAGUGUUAGGAUUUAGAAGUUUAGCAAAAUAUGCGUGACACUGUAAUUUGUAACAGAGUUAUGUCUUGGUCCAAAAAACAAUCAACCUUGGAGCUAGAGCUGCUCAGAGAAGUUGCUCUCAGAAGAAUCUUGCUCGAGCAAGAGAUAUUCCUGCUCAAGCAAGAGAAUCAAAAACUGUUUUUUUAAUUAGAGCAGCAUGUUGAAGAAGCCUGGGAUUAUGUUUUCAACACUAUAGUUUCUAAAGCCAAAACGGAAAUCUUAUAAGGCCAUAUGCUUGUUGAGCUCUGAAUCCAAAAGGGAGUGUAUUAUAUAAAAUCUUUUGAGCCAUUUUGGUGAAGAAAAUAUACUCAGUAAGCCUUAGUGCAACAGGCCAUUCCAAAUGGGUAGAGCUUUGUGUCUUUAGCUCUCUAGAGGCAAGGAUUGGGUUAAAUCCUCCUGAGCCAUAUUAUUGGAGAGCAGAGAUUAGAGAGAGUUUAAGCUCCCAUGCUUUUCUGUCAAAGGCAAGCAACUAGAGAGAAUGGUGUGCUAAGCUCCUGGGCCGAGAGAAAUGCAAAACAACAGUGUGUCCUCACUGAUCAAACUAAAAAAAAAAGAGAGAGAGAGAGAGAGACCCUAUACCUUAGCUUCAAAAAUUCUAUUUUUUCACUUGUUUUGUUCUUAACAUAGCCAAAAUCACUAAAAGAACCCGCACCAGGUGCUUGAUAAAAUACCCGCUUUUACUAUCCCACUCUUCUUUCAAUCCCCAGAGAGAAUGUUUGUGAGUUUCAAACCACAAAGCCAAAUCUUCAUUGAGAUUUACUGCAGUGCCGGAGGUUGUGUCAUGGAGGAAAGCACUAUACAAGGAUUCUAGAGGUUCUGGAACUACCAAGGUAGGAAUGCAAGCGAUGCAUUUGCAGAGGUUGCAUAGAGUUUAUAGGUUAGUAAAGGUUUUGUAAGUCGCUGACUAUUGUAACUAUUUCUUUAAUAGUGAUUUUUUAUAUGGGAAUGUCUUUGUCCCUGUAGUUGUUUUUCCUUAAAGAGGUUCUCCUUAAGUUUUUGACUUCGUGACCAUUCUCUUUGUCACACUAUCUUGUUAAUUGUAUAGGGGUUCAAACUAUACUUUUCAAUAAGUAAAUGAGUGUAAUCACAUGGCGUGGUGACCCUCAUUCACUUUAUUAUUCCCAUAAAAUGAGGGUUUACGGAUGAUUGCAUUGUUUGGGGAAGAGUUGUGACCUUUGAGAGAAACACAACCCUUUGCAGGUAUGAGUAUUGAUGGUUCACGGAAGGGUGCAAACACUUCCAUGAAUAAGAGGGAUCUCGUGAUAUUUGAGUUUCUAAUUCAUUCAAACUUUCUACCACGUGAUCACCACCAUUUGGGGAUCACCAUACUUGUCUAAGACCAACAAUAAGAACUCUUUGAUGACAAUCAACCUUCUUAAAACAUAAUGAAUGGCUCUUUAACCUUUUUAGAUCUCAACUCUGUCACACCAAACCGUCCAAAGUCAAUGAUGGUAUCUACCAUUGGAUGACUUAUUCUAUAUGAUCUCAAUGCUUAAAUUUUAUUGUGUACACAGAACAAAUGUUAUUGUUAAUGUUUUUUUGGAGAGAAAGUUGUAAAAUAUAAAUUAAGUUGCUUGGUAGCUAACAUUACCUACUUGAGAAAUAGUCGAAGGAUUACCAUGUCAAAGGGUAUAGUGUCAGCGCACCCUUUCACACAGUCAUAUCCAUUUCAUAAACCAUCAGCUUCUUGUUUGUCCUUCAAAAGAAUAUGGCAGAAUCAUUUCGGUUCAACUUCGCAGCAAAAGUUCUAGUGAAGAUCAGUUCCCCUAUCUUUCAAGAAGUCGUGUUGAUAUGGGGUGUUGAAGGCGAUUUGGAAAAGCUUGAGGACACCUUGUCCACAGACAAAGCCGUUCUGUUGGUUGCAGAGGAACAGCAGGGACAUAAUCAGGAGCAGACUGUCUGGCUUGGGAAGCUAUAAAACAUCUUUUAUGAUGCCGAAGAUGUGCUGGAUGAAUUCAAGUGUGAAGCAUUGAGGAGAUCAUUGGGAGCAGCACCAGAAAGACUAGGAAACAGGCAUGUCAUGCAUGGGUGGAGGGUGAUGAGCUAUUCCUUUGUGCAGACUUCAGAUGUCAUUGGAAGAGACAAGGAUAAAGAAAUAAUAGUUAAACUUAUAAUGCAUCCUUGUGAUGGUGAUCAAAAGGUCUGUGUUUUUCCCAUAGCUGGAAUUGCAGGUCUUGGGAAGACUACACUUGCUAAAUGGUGUUCAACAAUGAAGAAGUGGUCGGCCAUUUUCACUUGAGAAUAUGGGUAAGUGUAUCUGAUGACUUUAACAUAAAACAAUUGUUGUCAAAUUAAUCAAAUCUGUAACUAAUGAAAAUUGUAGUGAUUUGGACGUAGAGCAAUUGCAAAUGCGCCUUUGAGGUCAUUUGCACAACAGAAAAUCCUUACUUUUCUUGGAUGAUGUGUAGAAUGAGAAUCAGGGAAAAUGGAUUAAGUUGAGGAAUUUUUUGAUGGAGGGUACCAAAUGGAAGUAAGAUCCUCGUGACAACACGCAGCCUAAUAGUUGCAUCCAUUAUACUUACCAUUUCCUUCUACAACUUAGAAUUACUUCUACAUAAAGAGUGUCUAUCUUUAUUUAUAAAAUGGGCUUCUGGUGAAGGAGAAGCAAGAUAACAUGCAAAACUCAUUGAAGUUGGGGAUGAGAUGGUGAAGAAAUGCAAAGGAGUUCUAGCAGUGAAGACAUAGGGAGCUUACUAUAUUCAAAGCUCAAUGAACGUGAUUGGCUAUUUGUAAAGGAUAAUGAAAUGUGGAAACUGGAACAAAAAGGAAGGGAUAUUUUGCCUACCUUACAAUUGAGUUAUAAUCAAAUGCCAUCUUAAAACAA